RNAcentral lists this non-coding RNA (43 nucleotides) under Escherichia coli. RNAcentral's name for it is "ES036 (CssrF) sRNA". It matches the Rfam family "ES036 (CssrF) sRNA". Rfam says of the family: Differentially expressed under several chemical stress conditions. Lineage: Bacteria; Pseudomonadati; Pseudomonadota; Gammaproteobacteria; Enterobacterales; Enterobacteriaceae. The record is from RNAcentral.
AAAAUCAUGCAAAUUCAAUACAUUGCAUAAGCCACGUAGGCCU